RNAcentral lists this ribosomal RNA (496 nucleotides) under uncultured bacterium. Its description in RNAcentral is "bacterial SSU rRNA". It matches the Rfam family "Bacterial small subunit ribosomal RNA", at positions 28 to 507 of the family's 1533-position model. The record is from RNAcentral.
GACGAACGCUGGCGGCGUGCCUAAUACAUGCAAGUCGAGCGGAGUUAGAGAAGCUUGCUUCUCUAACUUAGCGGCGGACGGGUGAGUAACACGUGGGCAAUCUGCCCGUAAGACUGGGAUAACUCCGGGAAACCGGGGCUAAUACCGGAUAAUCCUGACUCUCUCCUGAGAGUCAGUUGAAAGAUGGUUUCGGCUAUCACUUACGGAUGAGCCCGCGGCGCAUUAGCUAGUUGGUAGGGUAAUGGCCUACCAAGGCGACGAUGCGUAGCCGACCUGAGAGGGUGAUCGGCCACACUGGGACUGAGACACGGCCCAGACUCCUACGGGAGGCAGCAGUAGGGAAUCUUCCGCAAUGGACGAAAGUCUGACGGAGCAACGCCGCGUGAGUGAAGAAGGUUUUCGGAUCGUAAAACUCUGUUGUUAGGGAAGAACACGUACGAGAAUAACUGCUCGUACCUUGACGGUACCUAACCAGAAAGCCACGGCUAUCUACGUG